Molecule: ribosomal RNA, 497 nt
Filed under: uncultured bacterium
Lineage: Bacteria
Description: partial 16S ribosomal RNA
Rfam family: Bacterial small subunit ribosomal RNA
Source: RNAcentral
GACGAACGCUGGCGGCGUGCCUAAUACAUGCAAGUAGAACGCUGAAGAGAGGAGCUUGCUCUUCUUGGAUGAGUUGCGAACGGGUGAGUAACGCGUAGGUAACCUGCCUUGUAGCGGGGGAUAACUAUUGGAAACGAUAGCUAAUACCGCAUAACAAUAGGUGACACAUGUCAUUUAUUUGAAAGGGGCAAUUGCUCCACUACAAGAUGGACCUGCGUUGUAUUAGCUAGUAGGUGAGGUAACGGCUCACCUAGGCGACGAUACAUAGCCGACCUGAGAGGGUGAUCGGCCACACUGGGACUGAGACACGGCCCAGACUCCUACGGGAGGCAGCAGUAGGGAAUCUUCGGCAAUGGGGGCAACCCUGACCGAGCAACGCCGCGUGAGUGAAGAAGGUUUUCGGAUCGUAAAGCUCUGUUGUAAGUCAAGAACGAGUGUGAGAGUGGAAAGUUCACACUGUGGCGGUAGCUUACCAGAAAGGGACGGCUAACUACGUG